AUACCCCACUAUCCUGUCCACAAGAACCUGUGUGAAUUCCAAAAUAUAUGCAGUUAUAAAGGGGCUUAUUUAAAUUAUAUCUAGAAUGCAAGACUGAAAUUCCCAAAAAUGAGUUGUACUGUACAUAUUUAAAAAAUAUAUAUUAGUUUCAAAAAUAUUUAUUAAAUGUUGUAUUCUAUACUUGCAGGUAUUUGCGUUGCACUUCAUUAUACCACACUGAUGGCUUCUCCAAGAUUAUAGAUAUGAUACAUGUAAACAGGCACAGUUACUUGUCAUCACAAGGAUAAGAAUUCAAAUACCAAAGUAGUCCUAACUCCUAAAUCAUCCCGAUUUGUCAAAAGUACAUAGAGCUGUAGCUGAUGGACACAAAUUGUUCAGAAAAAAUCCAGUUACCAUACUAAUCACAGCCAUAGAUUUCUGGCAUGCCUUCAGAAGGAACAUAGAUGCAAUGAUGAAACAUUAUCUCCAAACAUAUGGGUGGCCCUUGAACAGAGAU
This is a long non-coding RNA of Saccostrea cuccullata (small rock oyster), 496 nucleotides long. RefSeq lists it as uncharacterized. NCBI's taxonomy places the organism in Eukaryota, Metazoa, Mollusca, Bivalvia, Ostreida, Ostreidae. The transcript is spliced from 4 exons. The record is from RefSeq and is a predicted model, not a curated record.